RNAcentral lists this ribosomal RNA (497 nucleotides) under uncultured bacterium. RNAcentral describes it as "partial 16S ribosomal RNA". It matches the Rfam family "Bacterial small subunit ribosomal RNA", at positions 28 to 507 of the family's 1533-position model. The record is from RNAcentral.
GAUGAACGCUGGCGGCGUGCCUAAUACAUGCAAGUCGAGCGAACGGACGAGAAGCUUGCUUCUCUGAUGUUAGCGGCUGACGGAUGAGUAACACGUGGAUAACCGACCUAUAAGACUGGGAUAACUUCGUGAAACCGUACCUAAUACCGGAUAAUAUUUUGAACCGCAUGGUUCAACAGUGAAAGACGGUCUUGCUGUCACUUAUAGCUGGCUCCGCGCUGCAUUAGCUAAUUGGUAAGGUAACGGCUUACCAAGGCAACGAGGCAUAGCCGACCUGAGAGGGUGAUCGGCCACACUGGAACUGAGACACGGUACAGACUCCUACGGGAGGCAGCAGUAGGGAAUCUUCAGCAAUGGGCGAAAGCCUGACGGAGCAACGCCGCGUGAGUGAUGAAGGUCUUCGGAUCGUAAAACUCUGUUAUUAGGGAAGAACAUAUGUGUAAGUAACUGUGCACAUCUUGACGGUACCUAAUCAGAAAGCCACGGCUAACUACGUG